AUGGCGUUCAGAGGCUACUGCCACCCUCACCCUUCUUCCUCCAUGGCCACCACCGGCCCGAGAUUCGGCGCAAGGAGGCCGGCAGCAGCCUUGAGCUUCAGAACCUCUGCAGCCCAUGGAUGUAACCAACCAUCCUCGCACCUCUCCUUUGCUGCACCAACCAGCAACAAGGUGUUCGAGGACCAGGUGAGAGGGAUCGUGUGCUACAGGGACGACAAGGGGGAGGUCGUCUGCGAGGGCUACGACGAGGGCCCGAGGCUCGGAAUGCGGCUGCCGGAGAAGGCCUGCUUCCCAUGGCCUGUGGGAGUUCAGGUCACCGAUUUCAUCCGCCUUGCGACGCUUCGGGUCUUCGAGGACGGCGCCGACGACGGUCUUCUG
This 378-nucleotide ribosomal RNA is filed under the name Triticum aestivum (bread wheat). RNAcentral describes it as "partial small subunit ribosomal RNA". The record is from RNAcentral. Lineage: Eukaryota; Viridiplantae; Streptophyta; Magnoliopsida; Poales; Poaceae.